GCGCCAGACUCCUACGGGAGGCAGCAGUGGGGGAUAUUGCACAAUGGGGGAAACCCUGAUGCAGCGACGCCGCGUGUGGGAAGACGGUCCUCUGGAUUGUAAACCACUGUCCCCAGGGACGAAGAUGACGGUACCUGGGGAGGAAGCUCCGGCUAACUACGUGCCAGCAGCCGCGGUAAUACGUAGGGAGCAAGCGUUGUCCGGAAUUACUGGGUGUAAAGGGAGCGCAGGCGGCGCGCCAAGUCUGAUGUGAAACCCCGGGGCUCAACCCCGGGCAUGCAUUGGAAACUGGCGGGCUGGAGUGCCGGAGAGGUAAGCGGAAUUCCUAGUGUAGCGGUGAAAUGCGUAGAUAUUAGGAGGAACACCAGUGGCGAAGGCGGCUUACUGGACGGCAACUGACGCUGAGGCUCGAAAGCGUGGGGAGCAAACAGGAUUAGAUACCCCUGUACA
RNAcentral lists this ribosomal RNA (450 nucleotides) under uncultured bacterium. RNAcentral describes it as "bacterial SSU rRNA". It matches the Rfam family "Bacterial small subunit ribosomal RNA", at positions 328 to 794 of the family's 1533-position model. The record is from RNAcentral.